CCUACGGGUGGCAGCAGUGAGGAAUAUUGGUCAAUGGGCGCGAGCCUGAACCAGCCAAGUAGCGUGAAGGAUGACUGCCCUACGGGUUGUAAACUUCUUUUAUAAAGGAAUAAAGUGAGGCACGCGUGCCUUUUGUAUGUACUUUAUGAAUAAGGAUCGGCUAACUCCGUGCCAGCAGCCGCGGUAAUACGGAGGAUCCGAGCGUUAUCCGGAUUUAUUGGGUUUAAAGGGAGCGUAGAUGGGUUGUUAAGUCAGUCGUGAAAGUUUGCGGCUCAACCGUAAAAUUGCAAUUGAAACUGGAAGUCUUGAGUAAAGUUGAGGUAGGCGGAAUUCGUGGUGUAGCGGUGAAAUGCGUAGAUAUCACGAAGAACUCCGAUGGCGAAGGCAGCUUACUAAACUGCCACUGACAUUGAUGCUCGAAAGUGUGGGUAUCAAACAGGAUUAGAUACCCUGGUAGUC
Molecule: ribosomal RNA, 459 nt
Filed under: uncultured bacterium
Lineage: Bacteria
Description: partial 16S ribosomal RNA
Rfam family: Bacterial small subunit ribosomal RNA
Source: RNAcentral